UGAUGUCAUAUUGCACUUCCUAAGGCUUCCACUAGAUGUCAACAGUCAUUAGAACCUCGUUUGAGGCUUCUAGAAUACAAUUUGAUUGAAUAAUACCCGGAACAGUAUGUGGUCGACCUGGGGUCAUUGCCUUAACUCGCGCGCACUCAAGGAUUAGCCAUUUUUCUUUUUCUUCUGUAAUGAAUCUGCUAUUGUCCGGUUGGAAUAUUAUCGCAAUUCUACGAUUAUAACACCCUAAAGAUUGAUUGUGAACAUGGUUUGACAUGUUACUACAAACGCUGAGGGAACUUUAUAACUUUUGGUUGACGGUGGAUAGAUGCAUUUUGGAAUGGGGAUCUGGACGCGCCAUCAAAACGGAUUUAUUUCGACAUAAAUUAUGUACUUUAUCGAACAAAUGAACAUUUCUUGUGGAAGUGGGAGACCUUCUGAGUGCAUUCAUCCGAAGAUCAGCAAAGGUCACCAGGCUGCUCGUUAUGGCGCACACCUGUCACCAUCAUCAGACUCACCUGGACUCCAUCACUUCCCUGAUUACCUUCCCUAUAGAUGUCACUCCCUUUGGUUCCUUCCCCAGGCGUUAUUGUUUCUGUUUCUGUGUUAUGUCUGUGCGUUGUUUGUGUUUCUUAUUUUGUAUUAUGUUGUGUUUAUUUAUUAAAACACUCACUCCCUGAACUUGCUUCCCAACUCUCAGCGCACAUCAUCACACAUUCUUAUGGAGGACUGCUCAUACUGGGGAGUGUCAAUAUGGCCGACUGUUGGCUUCAAAGCCUCUCAUUGUCCAGUACAUAGUAUUAACAAUCCAGGUGUCACGUCCUGACCAGUAAAAGGGGUUGUUUGUUAUUAUAGUUUGGUCAGGGCGUGGCAGGGGGGGUUUGUUUAGUGUGUUUCGUUUUUUGGGGGAAAUGUUCUAUUUCUAUGUCUGUGUCUAUUUAUUCUAUUUCUAUGCUUAGUUUAUUGGGUUGACCUUCAAUUGGAGGCAGCUGUUCCUCGUUGCCUCUAAUUGAAGGUCCUAUUUAAUAGGGGUGUUUGUUCAUUGGGAUUGGUGGGUAAUUGUUUCUCCGUAUAGUCAUUUGUCCUUGCGGGACUGUUUUUCG
Molecule: long non-coding RNA, 1091 nt
Filed under: Salmo salar (Atlantic salmon)
Lineage: Eukaryota; Metazoa; Chordata; Actinopteri; Salmoniformes; Salmonidae
Description: lncRNA (ENSSSAG00000081948.1)
Source: RNAcentral